UACGGAGGGAGCUAGCGUUGUUCGGAAUUACUGGGCGUAAAGCGCACGUAGGCGGCUUUGUAAGUUAGAGGUGAAAGCCCGGGGCUCAACUCCGGAAUUGCCUUUAAGACUGCAUCGCUAGAAUUGUGGAGAGGUAAGUGGAAUUCCGAGUGUAGAGGUGAAAUUCGUAGAUAUUGGGAAGAACACCGGUGGCGAAGGCGGCGACCUGGUCCUUUACUGAGCUGAGGCGCGAAAGACG
RNAcentral lists this ribosomal RNA (238 nucleotides) under uncultured bacterium. Its description in RNAcentral is "partial 16S ribosomal RNA". It matches the Rfam family "Bacterial small subunit ribosomal RNA", at positions 524 to 762 of the family's 1533-position model. The record is from RNAcentral.